ACCUAGCCGACAGCUGGCGGCGUGCCUAAUACAUGCAAGUCGAGCGCAGGAAGCAAGCUGAUCCCCUUCGGGGGUGACGCUUGUGGAAUGAGCGGCGGACGGGUGAGUAACACGUGGGCAACCUGCCUGUAAGACUGGGAUAACCCCGGGAAACCGGGGCUAAUACCGGAUAAUACUUUCUUUUGCAUAAAGGAAAGUUGAAAGGCGGCUUCGGCUGUCACUUACAGAUGGGCCCGCGGCGCAUUAGCUAGUUGGUGAGGUAACGGCUCACCAAGGCGACGAUGCGUAGCCGACCUGAGAGGGUGAUCGGCCACACUGGGACUGAGACACGGCCCAGACUCCUACGGGAGGCAGCAGUAGGGAAUCUUCCGCAAUGGACGAAAGUCUGACGGAGCAACGCCGCGUGAGUGAUGAAGGUUUUCGGAUCGUAAAACUCUGUUGUUAGGGAAGAACAAGUUGGAUAGUAACUGACCCAACCUUGACGGUACCUAACCAGAAAGCCACGGCUAACUACGUGCCAGCAGCCGGUUAAAUA
Molecule: ribosomal RNA, 535 nt
Filed under: Oceanobacillus picturae
Lineage: Bacteria; Bacillati; Bacillota; Bacilli; Caryophanales; Bacillaceae
Description: bacterial SSU rRNA
Rfam family: Bacterial small subunit ribosomal RNA
Source: RNAcentral